This is a long non-coding RNA of Pectinophora gossypiella (pink bollworm), 358 nucleotides long. RefSeq lists it as uncharacterized. NCBI's taxonomy places the organism in Eukaryota, Metazoa, Arthropoda, Insecta, Lepidoptera, Gelechiidae. The transcript is spliced from 2 exons. The record is from RefSeq and is a predicted model, not a curated record.
GACCUAGUUAUACAACGUUGCAUACAACACUUUUUCUACGACGACGUAAUUUUAAACGAAACACAAAAAUUUUCCAAUUUAUUUUCCAACGCGCGGGAAAAUGGCGGCAAAUGUAUACUUUUUUUAUAGUAUAUCUAUGGCACCAAACAAAGUAAAGGUGCCAGUUUCCAGGUCAAAAAAAAAAAACAACAACAAUGCUUUUUUGGCGACAUUAUAGUACAGUUACACUUUGUAAACAAUGCUUUUAUAGGCCAUAGAGCGUACACUUUUUCAAAGAGUUUAAUUAUGUAUGUACUUAUAUUAGACUUUUUGGUUAUUUAAAUGCCAGAUUAAAGUAGAGGAGUAGAAAAAAAUAAUA